Molecule: ribosomal RNA, 1534 nt
Filed under: Duplominona sp. n. Canary Island
Lineage: Eukaryota; Metazoa; Platyhelminthes; Proseriata; Monocelididae
Description: SSU rRNA
Rfam family: Eukaryotic small subunit ribosomal RNA
Source: RNAcentral
UACAUGCAAUUAAUCUGGCUCUCACGGGCCAGGUGCACAUAUUGGUUCAAAGCCAACAGGAUCUCGGUCCUAGGUUUUGAGAACUCUGGAUACUUUGUUGCCCAUCGUACGGCCACGUGUCGGCGAGGCAUUCCAUAGAUAACUGCCCUAUCAACUUGAAGCUACCGUAAGGUGCUAAGUUGGUUAUAACGGGUGACGGGGAAUCAGGGUUCGAUUCCGGAGAGGGAGCCUGAGAAACAGCUACCACAUCUAAGGAAGGCAGCAGGCGCGCAACAUAUCCACUCCUGAAACAGGGAGAUUGUGACAAUAAAUAACGAUGCGGAACUCAAUCGAGGCUCCGUAAUCGGAAUGAGUACACUUUAAAUCCUUUAACGAGGAUCAAUUGGAGGGCAAGUCUGGUGCCAGCAGCCGCGGUAAUUCCAGCUCCAAUAGCGUAUAUUAAAGUUGUUGCAGUUAAAAAGCUCGUAGUUGGAUCUAAGGAUUCGGAUGGGUGGUUCACCAUUCGGUGUGACUGCCUGUCUGGCCUUCUCUGCUGUGGACGGUUUGGGUGCUCUUAACUGGGUGCUCUUACUGCCCGGCAACAUUACUUUGAAAAAAUCAGAGUGCUUAAAGCAAGCUUAUGCUUGAAUGGUGAUGCAUGGAAUAAUGGAAUAGGAGUUCGCUUCUAUUUCGUUGGUUUUUGAAGUUGAACUAAUGAUUAACAGGGACUGCCAGGGGCAUUAGUACGGACGGGGGAGAGGUGAAAUUCUGAGAUCCUGUCCGGACUACCUACUGCGAAAGCAUUUGCCAGGAAUGUUUUCAUUAAUCAAGAACGAAAGUCAGAGGUUCGAAGACGAUCAGAUACCGUCCUAGUUCUGACCAUAAAUGAUGCCAUCUUGUGAUCCUAGCAGCUUGCAUGUUCGAGCGCUUGGGCAACCCCCGGGAAACCAAAGAUUUUGGGUUCCGGGGGAAGUAUGGUUGCAAAGCUGAAACUUAAAGGAAUUGACGGAAGGGCACCACCAGGAGUGGAGCCUGCGGCUUAAUUUGACUCAACACGGGAAACCUUACCCGGCCCGGACACUUUGAGGAUUUACAGAUUGACAGCUCUUUAUUGAUUAGGUGAUUGGUGGUGCAUGGCCGUUCUUAGUUGGUGGAGUGAUUUGUCUGGUUAAUUCCGAUAACGAACGAGACUCUACCCUGCUAAAUAGCGCUGGCAUAUCUUUAUAUGUCAAGUGACUUCUUAGAGGAACUAACGACAUUUAGUCGUAUGAAAAAGAGCAAUAACAGGUCUGUGAUGCCCUUAGAUGUUCGGGACGGCACGCGCGCUACACUGACUGCAACAGCUAGUGUGAUCCUGGCCAGAAAUGGUUGGGUAACCUGGCAAUCGCAGGCGUGACAGGGAUCAGAGCUUGAAACUCUUCUCUGUGAACGAGGAAUUCCGAGUAAGCACAAGUCAUUAGCUUGUGCUGAUUACGUCCCUGCCCUUUGUACACACCGCCCGUCGCUACUACCGAUUGAAUGUUUUAGUGAGGUCUUUGGACUGGCUCUGACGGAG